AGUAUUUAUGAAUUUAUGUGUGUAUAUGGAUGUUAUUUUGUUUAUUAUUAUCUAAAUCUCACUGGUCAAAUUGUUCCGGAAAUCGUGUGAAUAUUAGAGAACAUUUCUAUCCAAGGAAGUAUAAAACUUUUUGUACUGCCUUCGAGAGUCGGAUAACGGUACCACGUUAUUGUUUUUCGAGUUUUACAUAUAAACCAUAUGCAUUCGGAUUUAUAAACUAGCUUUUACUUCGAUACAUGAUGGAGUAUAAUAGAGAACUCAUUGGAUUUUGGUGGAAACCAAUGAACUCAAGUCCGAGUGAUCUAGCUUCCUAUACAAAGGUAUUGGU
Long non-coding RNA from Lucilia cuprina (Australian sheep blowfly), 328 nucleotides. RefSeq lists it as uncharacterized. The record is from RefSeq and is a predicted model, not a curated record. NCBI's taxonomy places the organism in Eukaryota, Metazoa, Arthropoda, Insecta, Diptera, Calliphoridae. The transcript has 3 exons.